GACCCAACAGGUUAAAAUCGGACAUAUCGAGUGCAUAGAGGAGUUCUGUAUCUAUAAUUCUUAAAAUAAUUGUUAUGCUUUUUGUGAACGUUUAUCGUGAGUAAUUUAGUAAAUUCACCGGCAGUGUUCGGUGGGAAUGCUAGUCACAUGCUAGUCACAUGCUAUUGUAAAAAGCUGUUUUUUGAUAUAAAUAUGAACUUGAUUGAACAAAACAUGCAUGUAUUGUAUAACAUAAUAUCCUAGGGUUAUCAUCUGAUGAAGAUCAUCAAAGGUUAGUGCUACAUUUAGCUGUGGUUUGGGUUUAUGUGACAUUAUAUGCUAGCUUGAAAAAUGGGUGUCUGAUUAUUUCUGGCUGGGUACUCUGCUGACAUAAUCUAAUGUUUUGCUUUCGUUGUAAAGCCUUUUUGAAAUCAGACAGUGUGGUUAGAUUAACGAGAGUCUUAUCUUUAAAAUGGUGUAAAAUAGUCAUAUUUUUGAAAAAUUGAAGGUUAACAUCAGUACAUAGCAUCUCAAUGUAUUACAAAUAGCUUUAUCCUUAUUAAUACAUUUUAUACAACCAUUAUGAUGCAAGUCUCAAACUGAGGCUAUUAUAUAAACAGUUUUAUGGUAAUAUGGCUAUAUUGUCUCUUCUGAGUAUCACAAAAUUGUACCAAGCGGACCAGUUCGUAGCUGGAUUCUUCACCAAUCUUCCAUACCUUCUCCAGAACACACAUGUCGCUCGGUUCUCCAAUUCUAUGAGUUGGAAGAAUUUCCUUUGUCUCUCUAUGAAACAUGUGGUCGGAGAUUCUCCUCUUAGAGUUUUUACAACCCUUUCACACAGGGCCUGGUUUGGGGGGAAGAUAGGUUGGGGGAUGGUACAAAGGGGAGGGGGUCAACUGUCCUUCCUGUACCCAAAGAGGCCAACGUCAUGACACUGGUGUGUUUACGGACAUAUGCAAUCUCUCCUUAUCCCGGUCUAUUGUCCCCACUUGAUCAAGAUGUCCACCAUUGUUCCUGUACCCAAGAAAGCAAAGGUAACUGAACUAAAUUAUUAUUGCCCCAUAGCACUCACUUCUGUCAUCAUGAAGUACAUUGAGAGAGUAGUCAAGGAUCAUAUCAACUCUACCUUUCCUGACACCCUAGACCCACUUCAAUUUGCAUACCGCCCCAAUAGAUCCACUGACAAUAGAAUUGCCAUCGCACCGCACACUGCCCUAUCCCAUCUGGACAAGAUGAAUACUUAUGUAAGAUUGCUGUUCACUGACUACAACUCAACCUUCAACACCAUAGUACCCUCCAAGCUCAUCAUUAAGCUUGGGGUCCUGGGUCUGAACACUGCCCUGUGCAACUGGGUCCUGGACUUCCUGACGGGCCGCCCCCAGGUGAUGAAGGUAGGAAACAACACCUCCACUUUGCUGAUCCUCAACACUGGGGCCCCACAAGGGUGUGCUUAGCCCCCUUCUGUACUCCCUGACCCAACUGUAGUAAACUUGAUUACCAACAAUGACGAGACAGCCUACAUGGAGGAGGUGAGGGCCCUGGCGGAGUGGUGCCAGGAAAAUAACCUCUCUCUCAACGUCAACAAAAUGAAGGAGCUGAUUGUGGACUUCAGGAAACAGAAAAGGCAGCACGCCCCUAUCCACAUCAACGGAACCGCAGUGUAGAAGGAUAAAAGCUUUAUAAUCCUCGGGGUACAUAUCACUGACAAUCUGAAAUGGUCCACCCACACAGACAGUGUGGUGAAGAAGUCAACAAUUUGGCUUGGCCCGUAAGACCCUCACAAAUUUUUACAUAUGAACAAUUGAGAGCAUCCUGUCGGACUGUAUCAUGGCCUGGUAUGGCAACUGCACCGCCCUCAACCGCAGGGCUCUCCAGAGGAUGGUGCGGUCUGCCCAACGCACACUACCGGCCCUCCAGGACACCUAGUGCACCUGAUGUCACAGGAAGGCCAAAUAUAUCUUCAAGGACAACAACCACACGAGCCACGGCCUGUUCACCCCGCUAUCAUCCAGAAGGUGAAGUCAGUACAGGUGCAUCAAAGCUGGGACCGAGAGACUGAAAAACAGCUUCUAUGUCAAGGCCAUCAGACUGUUAAAUAGCCAUCACUAGCCGUCUACCACCCAGUUACUCAACCCUGCACCUUAGAGGCUGCUGCCCCAGGAGUUUUAAAUUAUUGCCACAUGAAUUCCACUGUCACUAAUUUCGAUCAAUCAAGAUUGUGUCCACAGUGUUAUACAGUGUUAUGCAGUGUUAUGCAGUGUUAUAUGGUGUUACACAGUGUUUUAUACGGUGUCAUGCGGUGUUAUACAGUGUUAUGCAGUGUUUUACACGGUGUUAUACAGUGUUAUGCGGUGUUAUAUGGCGUUAUACGGUGUUUUACAGUGUUUUAUACAGUGUUAUACAGUGUUAUACAGCGUUAUACGGUGUAUAACAAAAAGGCGGUAUGGUGUUAUACGGUGUUAUACGGUGUUAUACAGUGUGGUAUAUGGUGUUAUACAGUGUUAUACGGUGUUAUACAGUCUUAUAUGUUGUUGUACAGUGAUAUACGGUGUUGUACGGUGUCAUAUGGUGUUAUACAGUGUGGUAUAUGGUGUUAUACAGUGUUAUACGGUGUUAUACAGUGUGGUAUAUGGUGUUAUACAGUGCGGUAUGGUGUUAUACGGUGUUAUACGGUGUUAUACAGUGUGGUAUAUGGUGUUAUACAGUGUUAUACGGUGUUAUACAGUCUUAUAUGUUGUUGUACAGUGAUAUACGGUGUUGUACGGUGUCAUAUGGUGUUAUACA
This 2763-nucleotide long non-coding RNA is filed under the name Salmo salar (Atlantic salmon). RNAcentral describes it as "lncRNA (ENSSSAG00000100644.1)". The record is from RNAcentral. Lineage: Eukaryota; Metazoa; Chordata; Actinopteri; Salmoniformes; Salmonidae.